This 254-nucleotide unclassified non-coding RNA is filed under the name Hevea brasiliensis (rubber tree). Lineage: Eukaryota; Viridiplantae; Streptophyta; Magnoliopsida; Malpighiales; Euphorbiaceae. The record is from RNAcentral.
GAGGUAGAGAGGCAUUGGUCUAGGAGAUAUUUGAGGCUAUAAUGAUCAGUUUUAAUGAGAAAAUGCCUUCCCCACGAAUACGGACACCAGUGUUGGACCGCGUAGGCCAAUCCAAUAAGUUCUCGUUCAUGUGCAGGUAACUUAUGGUGUUGUUUUGUCAACUUGCGACUAAAGAAAGCCAUUGGAUGGCCAUUUUGAUGAAGCACAACACCAAUAUCACCACACGAAGCAUCACAUUCGACCACAAAUUGGAC